AUUUAUGUAGUUUACUUAAAAACGUUACACUUUCACUGUAGAGAGGGGCCGAAGCCUCAUAGAUA
This 65-nucleotide transfer RNA is filed under the name Cincticostella fusca. RNAcentral's name for it is "tRNA-Glu". The record is from RNAcentral. Lineage: Eukaryota; Metazoa; Arthropoda; Insecta; Ephemeroptera; Ephemerellidae.